RNAcentral lists this long non-coding RNA (401 nucleotides) under Mus musculus (house mouse). RNAcentral describes it as "predicted gene, 47754 (Gm47754)". The record is from RNAcentral. Lineage: Eukaryota; Metazoa; Chordata; Mammalia; Rodentia; Muridae.
AGUUCCCGAAACCACCCACCCCUUGAACUUAGAGAGAAAAUGUCUUAAAGAAUCAGGAAGAGGAAAGAGGGAAGAAAGUCAACAGCGUAACUGACAAAUAGGCCAUAGAUCCAAAACAUUAUAUAAGGGUAGCCUUAGGGGAGGGUGAGAAAGAAAAGUAGGAUGAAUGAUCCGCUGGCAGAGUCUGGAGUCCUGAUUCAUUCACUCACAUCUCAGCUGGACAGCUAAGAAGGCCCCAAAGAGUACACAGCUGGCAGAGAGUUCUUCAAUUCCACCUAAGCUCGUCUCUUAGACCUAAGAAAACCCAAGUCUGAAGAAUAACAACCAAGGUGCCCCAUUACCCUGUGGAACCAGACCCCCCCCCCAAUCUGGCUUUAUAAAUAAAGUUUUAUUGGCAUAGA